Molecule: long non-coding RNA, 3901 nt
Organism: Vespa crabro (European hornet)
Lineage: Eukaryota; Metazoa; Arthropoda; Insecta; Hymenoptera; Vespidae
Exons: 3
Source: RefSeq, a predicted model, not a curated record
UGUACUUUUCGAACAUUAAAAUUUUGCUAUUUCAAUUCUCUUCAUUUAUAUGAUAAGAGUAUUUUAUAAACACGACCAUUUUUUUAUCGUAUACCGAACAAGAAAAAGAGUAUAACUUUUUUCAGCGGCUAUAUUUGCCUUUCCUACUAUUCUUUUAUUUUUUAGUAUGAUGCGUUCCCGUUGAUUGCUUCAUCACUAUGAUUGUUCGCAUUGAUAGCUUUUGCUAAGUGUAUAUAUUGAUGGCCUGAUUGCUGUAUGACUGAUCUAUGUGACGCUACUGAAGCGUCAGUAGAUCCUCUGUUAGUGCGCAUCUAUUCCUGAUACCUUAAUGUUUCUUUACAAUAUUAACAUUUUAUCGGAAACUGUUAAAUGCUAAUAAAAAAUUAGCAUUUUCAAUGCUAUUUAUUAUAUAAAUUACGUUAGAUUAUAGUCGUCGUCCAUUCGUGCAUCUAUUGUGCGGUCUUCGUGCUGUCGUGAUGUCGUAUUACGCAUUGAAUAAAUAGAAUGUUAAAUAUUGAAAUUAUAGAUAUUAUUGAACAUUAAUUCCUAAAAGGUUAUGAGAUCAUUUGUGAACAGAAAGGUAGCAAGUUUAAAAAGUGUGUCAAAUUUCCAUCACUUUCAAAAAAAAUUAUGAUAUAUGAAAAGUUUAUACGAAAAUUAAUGAAAAACUAUUACGUAAGGAAUAAGAAUGAAACAUUGACAGUUAAUGAAGAGGCUAUUAUUUACAAAUAUGACUUUAAUAGUUAAUUAUUAUUACUACUUAAGUUAUAAUGCUUAUUACUACUUUCCUACUACUAGCUGAUUUUUUCCCUUUUCUCCUCAAUCUGGUAACACUAGGCAAGAUCAUAUAUUGAGAUUUUCUGAUACAUUAAACAAACUAAAAGUUAUUGACGUAAAGAUCUGCAAAAUAUGGUAGUCAUUCUCUUAUUAUCGAUUAUACUGCAAUCUUAUGAAUCCCUUAGAGUAACCGUUAAAUCUCAAGAAGAAUUAUCGAUGGUGGAGAAGCUCAGGAUAAAGUUACUAGAGAAAUAUUAAAUGAGACAACGACGAACUACGGACAAAAAUUUCGAAUUGAUGUUAAUUUCUAAACAUCUAAAGAGUAAUACUGAAGGGAAAAGCGAAAAAGAUUGACUCGAGGAAAGUCCGUUGAUCUGUAAUCUAAAUGUUAUUACUGUGGAAAGCAAUUGUCGGACAUUAAAAUGUCGAUUGGAGAAUUAAAAUAUUUUGUUAUCUUUAUAGAUCAAUACUUAGAUGCUGAUUGAGAUGCUAGCGUAGACAUUUUGAUAGAGGUAGCGGUUUUGGAUGUGUAUUAAAAUGUACGUAUCACGUGGCAUAUGAAAUGUGUAUUAAGCAAUUAAAGAUCUAUAUAUACAUAUACAUAGGUAUUUAAGUACAUAGAUAGCAUGGUUGAAAAUAAAAGAAUUGCUACAGGAAUACGGAAACUUAUGAAAGUGUGCAGAUCUGGAAAGAAGUCUCUUAGAAAAAAUGCGGGUCUGAUUGAUUAUUUCUGAUAGAUUCAACACAAUUGUAAAGAUAAGCAUGCAUAUUACCCAGAAUAGUGGUCACAUAAUCAACAAAACCAUAUAGCAACCCUUGAUGGUGAGCGACAAAGAAGAGUGUCCGCUUGCCUUUGUUUUGUAUCACGGAACUUGUUUCUAGCUUUGCAUUAUAUGUAUUUCAUAUAUAUUUAUAUUAUAUAUAUUUAUAUUCAUAUAUGUAUAUAUGAGUAUAUACAUAUAUGUAUAUAUACAUAUGCGUACAUGAUUUUAUAUGUAUAAUCGAAGAGUUCUCUAAUUUAGAUGUAUGAUGAAACCUCACGUUUAACUGUUCAGUGGUUAUACACAUAUAUUUAAAUACACGUGAAAACAUGUAAUAGAAAUACACAGGUACCUAUGAUUAAAAAUUAUACGAAUUGAGAUCCGGAUUUGUUUACCACAUGUGAAAUAGGUCUAUAAUUUCCAGAUAUGUUGGUAGUACUAUAAACUGUUUCGCAAAGAAACAAAGAUUUGUAGCUAUGUCUAGCUUGGAGGCAGAAUAUAUGGCUUUAUCUGAGGGUACAAAAGAAACAAUAUACUUAAAAAAUUUUCUAAUGAAAGUUAUUGGAAAAAUAGAUACUUCUACUAUAUAUAACAAUAAUUAAAGCGUAAUGUAAAUGACAAAACAUUCAGUUCACCAUAACAGAACAAAACACAUUGCUGUAAAAUAUCAUUUUAUCUGUGAUUAUUCAUAGAAAAGAAAUCAGUUUUGACUAUCUUUCAAUAACAGAUAUGCCAGCUGACAUUCACACCAAGAAAUUUAGUACAUCGAAGCUUUUUUCAGAAUAUCAAUCAGAAUAGAACAGAUUUGUUAAAAUCUUAAAAAUUGUAAUUUUUAUGGGAGGCGAGCUAUGUAAAAUAUUUUAUGGGGUAGUAAACAAUUAGCAUUUUCACCAUUAGAUGACACUAAGCUGUAGUUAUUGUUUAUUCAUAUGAUAUUAUAUUACACAUUGAAUAAAUAGAUAGAUUGUUGUAUACAGAAAUCAUUAGAGAUUAUUGGACAUUAGCUUCUAAUACUUCUGAUUAAAUUGCCACUUUUUUGGCUUAUUUUAAUCUUUAAGGAGAUGAAAAGUGCUCUUAAUAAGUAAAGUCUUGCAGUAUUUGUGAAAUUUAGGAAAAUAUAUUUGAUAUUCAAAAUGACCACAAGAAGAAAAAUUUAGUGUUUUGAAUUUAUCUGAAUCUGAAUAACUAUUUCGAUAUAACUAUUUCGAAUCAAAUAUAUCUUUUAUAGAAGUUUUCUUCUAUCAAAAGUAAUCGUGAUAGCCUCGCUUCGAGUUUUGAAUGAUUUAUCCGGUAUAUAUUUCUUAAACAUUAAACUUUGUUAUUUCAGUUCUUUUAAUCUUUACUGUUUGUUCCAUUAAGUACUUUUCAUCUAUAAAAAUAAAAUAGAUACAAUUUGAAUUAUCGUGAUUUAAUGGCAUUAUAAUUUUAUUUAUUACAUUUAUUAUUAUAUAAAAGGAAUUUUAGUAAGAUACAAAAAGCACGUACAAUUGCAAUAUUUUAUCAUUGAUGUAACUUAUUAAAUUUUUUCAUUUUGUAUUUAUACUUCUGUUCUCGUAUUGACUUCCUUUCGCAAACAUAUAUUUGCGCCAAUUUUGUCAUUACAAUUGUAUAGCAUAUUAUAAGAUAUUUUACAUUUCAUUGUAAGCAAAUUUAUAAAAUAUCAGACUAAAUGUAACAGAGAAAAAUAUGUUUAAACACUGAUGCAUGUUCCCUUGUUUGCUUAAAUAAUUUUUUUUUCUGUAUUAAUAAGUCAAAAUUUGCUAAGCCGUAUGUAUCAUGGGUAAAAAUCAUCUUAUGGCAAAUGAAAAGUUACACAAAACGGCACCGUAUGAAUGUGUUAAAUUUGUGAUGAAAGAACGAAUAUUGGGGCCGUUCAGAGAGAAAUGCUUUAUGUGCACAUGAUAAAAGGGGGAGAUCGUACAGCAAAGGAAUGUUAUUAAAAAAACGAAUAUUGAGCGUACGAAAUAAUUAAUAUUCUGAAUGGACUGGAAUUCGAAUCCGGAUUCUCGCAUGUCACGUGUAGUGCUUCAUUUUCAACUAACUGUAUGGUGCCUAAAAAUCCAAAGUCUUCACACUUUCAUAGCCUUUCUAAAAUGCUAUGAAAAUUGCCUACAAUCAAAAUUAUCCAAAUAGAAAUCUUUUAUAAACGCGUGAUUAAAGAGAUAAUAUCGGUCUUCUUUUAUUUUCUCAGUUAUGAUAUGUGCACAUGCAAUACUUUAACCUUGGAAAUGACCUGUCAUAUACAAUAUAAUAAACCAGCUCUCACAGCCAUAAUAUUUUUUUAAUUCUUACUAUAUCUAUUUGUUCGGUUAGGUGUGGCUAAAAUCUUAUCAAUGACAUAUAACUGUCAUCGAUACUUUAUA